GAUUUCUGAUAUAAUUUUCNUGUCCCGCUGUGGUUACACAUGUGAGUGACGAAUAAUAUUUAUCUGUUUUAUGUUUUGUUUGUAUAGUAUGUAAAUAUUAUACAAAACAUACAUAUCUUUUACUUUGAACAAAUUAGAGUGUUUCAAGCAGGCAUUUAUGCCUUGAAUACAUGAGCAUGGAAUAAUCAUCGAGGACUUUUAGUUCUAUGUUGAUUGGUUCUAGAACUAUAGUAAUGAUGGAUAGGGAUAGUUGGGGGUGCUAGUAUUCCGAGGCCAGAGGUGAAAUUCUUGGAUUCUCGGAAGACUCACUUAGGCGAAAGCAUUCACCAAGGAUGUCUUCAUUAAUCAAGAACGAAAGUUGGGGGAUCGAAGACGAUCAGAUACCGUCGUAGUCUCAACCAUAAACUAUGCCGACUAGGGAUGUGACAAUGUUGAAUUUUCGACUUGUUACGCACCUCAUGAGAAAUCAAAGUCUUUGGGUUCAUGGGGAAGUAUGGUCGCAAGGCUGANACUUUUWGG
Molecule: ribosomal RNA, 519 nt
Filed under: uncultured eukaryote
Lineage: Eukaryota
Description: bacterial SSU rRNA
Rfam family: Eukaryotic small subunit ribosomal RNA
Source: RNAcentral